GACGAACGCUGGCGGCGUGCUUAACACAUGCAAGUCGAACGGAAAGGCCCUGCUUUUGUGGGGUGCUCGAGUGGCGAACGGGUGAGUAACACGUGAGUAACCUGCCCUUGACUUUGGGAUAACUUCAGGAAACUGGGGCUAAUACCGGAUAGGAGCUCCUGCUGCAUGGUGGGGGUUGGAAAGUUUCGGCGGUUGGGGAUGGACUCGCGGCUUAUCAGCUUGUUGGUGGGGUAGUGGCUUACCAAGGCUUUGACGGGUAGCCGGCCUGAGAGGGUGAACGGCCACAUUGGGACUGAGAUACGGCCCAGACUCCUACGGGAGGCAGCAGUGGGGAAUAUUGCCCAAUGGGCGGAAGCCUGAUGCAGCAACGCCGCGUGCGGGAUGACGGCCUUCGGGUUGUAAACCGCUUUCGCCUGUGACGAAGCGUGAGUGACGGUAAUGGGUAAAGAAGCACCGGCUAACUACGUG
This 468-nucleotide ribosomal RNA is filed under the name uncultured bacterium. Its description in RNAcentral is "partial 16S ribosomal RNA". It matches the Rfam family "Bacterial small subunit ribosomal RNA", at positions 28 to 507 of the family's 1533-position model. The record is from RNAcentral.